GUGGGGAAUUUUGGACAAUGGGCGAAAGCCUGAUCCAGCCAUGCCGCGUACAGGAUGAAGGCCUUCGGGUUGUAAACUGCUUUUGUACGGAACGAAAAGACUCCUUCUAAUAAAGGGGGUCCAUGACGGUACCGUAAGAAUAAGCACCGGCUAACUACGUGCCAGCAGCCGCGGUAAUACGUAGGGUGCAAGCGUUAAUCGGAAUUACUGGGCGUAAAGCGUGCGCAGGCGGUUAUAUAAGACAGAUGUGAAAUCCCCGGGCUCAACCUGGGAACUGCAUUUGUGACUGUAUAGCUAGAGUACGGUAGAGGGGGAUGGAAUUCCGCGUGUAGCAGUGAAAUGCGUAGAUAUGCGGAGGAACACCAAUGGCGAAGGCAAUCCCCUGGGCCUGUACUGACGCUCAUGCACGAAAGCGUGGGGAGCAAACAGGAUUAGAUACCCCUGUAGUCC
This 450-nucleotide ribosomal RNA is filed under the name uncultured bacterium. Its description in RNAcentral is "bacterial SSU rRNA". It matches the Rfam family "Bacterial small subunit ribosomal RNA", at positions 354 to 796 of the family's 1533-position model. The record is from RNAcentral.